UACUUUCAAAGGGCAUCAGCAGCCCACUAAUUUUAGGAAUUACUUAUCCU
Molecule: transfer RNA, 50 nt
Filed under: Hemidactylus fasciatus (banded leaf-toed gecko)
Lineage: Eukaryota; Metazoa; Chordata; Lepidosauria; Squamata; Gekkonidae
Description: partial tRNA-Leu
Source: RNAcentral